UAGAGGAAGUAAAAGUCGUAACAAGGUCUCCGUUGGUGAACCAGCGGAGGGAUCAUUACUGAGUUUACGCUCUACAACCCUUUGUGAACAUACCUAUAACUGUUGCUUCGGCGGGCAGGGUCUCCGUGACCCUCCCGGCCUCCCGCCCCCGGGCGGGUCGGCGCCCGCCGGAGGAUAACCAAACUCUGAUUUAACGACGUUUCUUCUGAGUGGUACAAGCAAAUAAUCAAAACUUUUAACAACGGAUCUCUUGGUUCUGGCAUCGAUGAAGAACGCAGCGAAAUGCGAUAAGUAAUGUGAAUUGCAGAAUUCAGUGAAUCAUCGAAUCUUUGAACGCACAUUGCGCCCGCCAGCAUUCUGGCGGGCAUGCCUGUUCGAGCGUCAUUUCAACCCUCAAGCUCUGCUUGGUGUUGGGGCCCUACGGCUGACGUAGGCCCUCAAAGGUAGUGGCGGACCCUCCCGGAGCCUCCUUUGCGUAGUAACUUUACGUCUCGCACUGGGAUCCGGAGGGACUCUUGCCGUAAAACCCCCAAUUUUCCAAAGGUUGACCUCGGAUCAGGUAGGAAUACCCGCUGAACUUAAGCAUAUCAAUA
RNAcentral lists this ribosomal RNA (593 nucleotides) under Colletotrichum kahawae. RNAcentral describes it as "eukaryotic LSU rRNA". The stretch from base 231 to 384 matches the Rfam family "5.8S ribosomal RNA". Lineage: Eukaryota; Fungi; Ascomycota; Sordariomycetes; Glomerellales; Glomerellaceae. RNAcentral also lists the same sequence under 2 other names. The record is from RNAcentral.